RNAcentral lists this ribosomal RNA (1946 nucleotides) under oral metagenome. RNAcentral describes it as "bacterial LSU rRNA". It matches the Rfam family "Bacterial large subunit ribosomal RNA", at positions 1 to 2011 of the family's 2925-position model. The record is from RNAcentral.
UUAAGAAAGUAAGAGUGUAUGGUGGAUGCCUUGGCACUAGAAGGCGAAGAAGGACGCGACGAACAGCGAAAUGCUACGGGGAGUUGUAAGUGAACUAAGAUCCGUAGGUAUCCGAAUGGGGCAACCCACCAGUUUGAAGAACUGGUACCCGUUGAUGAAUACAUAGUCAACGAGGAGAGAGACCCGGUGAACCGAAACAUCCAAGUAUCCGGAGGAAAAGAAAGCAAUAGCGAUUCCCUAAGUAGAGGCGAUUGAACGGGGAGCAGCCCAUUACCAUAGAAGUUACAAAUCUUUAAUAUAGUCGAAUUGUGUGGGAAAGCAAACAGUAUAAGGUGAUAGUCCUGUAGAUUAAAUAUUAAAGACUUCGGUAAUAAUGAGUAGGGCGGGGCACGUGUAAUCCUGUCUGAAUAUGCGAGGACCAUCUCGUAAGGCUAAAUACUAGCUAGUGACCGAUAGUGAACCAGUACCGUGAGGGAAAGGUGAAAAGAACCCUUGGCAGGGAGUGAAAUAGAACCUGAAACCAUAUACUUACAAUUAGUCAAAGCCCCUUAUGAGGGUGAUGGCGUGCCUUUUGUAGAAUGAACCGGCGAGUUACGAUAAUGAGCGAGGUUAAACUUUAAGGAGUGGAGCCGUAGCGAAAGCGAAUCUUAAUAGGGUGAAUUAGUCCAUUGUCGUAGACCCGAAACCGGGUGACCUAGCCAUGAGCAGGUUGAAACUUGGGUAAAACCAGGCGGAGGACCGAACCAGGAACUGUUGCAAUAGUUUUGGAUGACUUGUGGCUAGAGGUGAAAUUCCAAUCGAACCCGGAUAUAGCUGGUUCUCCCCGAAAUAUCUUUAGGGAUAGCGUUGUAGUUAAUUUAUUGGAGGUAAAGCUCUGAAUGUGUGAGGGCCUCACCUCGAGGUACCAAUCAUAAUCAAACUGGGAAUGCCAAUAAAUAUGUAUACAGCAGUCAGACUGCGAGUGAUAAGGCCCGUAGUCGAAAGGGAAACAGCCCAGACCGCCAGUUAAGGUCCCUAAAUCUAUGCUAAGUGGGAAAGGAUGUGGAGUCGUUUAGACAACUAGGAUGUUGGCUUAGAAGCAGCCAUCAUUUAAAGAGUGCGUAAUAGCUCACUAGUCGAAGGAUUCUGCGCCGAAAAUGUAACGGGGCUAAGCAUAGUACCGAAGCUGCGGAAACAAGUAAUUGUUUGGUAGGGGAGCGUACUCAACGCGGUGAAGCUAGACCGGAAGGACUAGUGGAGCGUUGAGCAGUGAGAAUGCCGGUGUGAGUAACGAAAAGACAGGUGAGAAUCCUGUCCGUCGAAAGCCUAAGGUUUCCAGGGGAAGGUUCGUCCGCCCUGGGUUAGUCGGGUCCUAAGGUGAGGCUGAAAAGCGUAGCCGAUGGACAUCAGGUUUAUAUUCCUGAACCACCUUAGUAACAGAUGGAAUGACAAAGAAGGCUAGCCGGAGCUGUAUUAGUGGAUUUCAGUUUAAGCUCAAAGAUGUGUAUGUUGGUAAAUCCGCAUGCUAUAACAUUGAAAAGUGAUGAAGGAAUUCUGGUGAAGCCAAGCUUUCAAGAAAAGUUUCUAUGGUUAAUUAUUAAGGUGCCCGUACCGUAAACGGACACACGUAGGCGAGGAGAGAAUCUAAAGACGCGCGAGAAAACUCUUGUUAAGGAACUCUGCAAAAUGACCCCGUAACUUCGGGAUAAGGGGGACUCUUUCUAAAAGAGUCGCAGAUAAUAGACCCAAGCGACUGUUUAUCAAAAACACAGGUUUCUGCUAAAUCGUAAGAUGAAGUAUAGGAGCUGACGCCUGCCCAGUGCUGGAAGGUUAAGGAAAGAUGUUAGGGGUAACCCAAAGCAUUGAACUGAAGCCCCAGUAAACGGCGGCCGUAACUAUAACGGUCCUAAGGUAGCGAAAUUCCUUGUCGGGUAAGUUCCGACCCGCACGAAAGGCGUAACGAUUUG